This is a long non-coding RNA of Gallus gallus (chicken), 1956 nucleotides long. Lineage: Eukaryota; Metazoa; Chordata; Aves; Galliformes; Phasianidae. The record is from Ensembl.
UCUCCCAGGACAUCCCUUUCCCAAAGAAGGCAACCAAGUAUCGGCAGUGAGCAAGCUAAAAAUCACAUUUAUCCCAGUUUGUCAUCCUGCAUCAUACAAUCUGACUCUUUGAAUACUUCUGUACCUCCACUGGUCUUGCUUCAAUCAACCAAUAUACUUCCUGUGCUGGAGAUUCCAGAACCAUACAGAGCACACUAGAUGUAUCCUCACAAGUGCCAAGUAAAUAGAAGGGGGAAGCUGACAACUUUCCAUCCAUUGGUUCAGAAGAGUCUUGCUAACAUAAUGCAAUAAGUGGUCCGUAUUGAUAUCAUUUGUAGAAUUAUUUGCAUAACUGGUAUUAUUUCCUUCUCCCCAUUUCUGACUAUUUGCCAAAUACAUUUAACACAGAGGUUCAAAUAGAAAUGCAGAUUGAUGUUUGUGUAAAAAUUCCUACUGUGGAGAGGAGAAAGUGGCUGAAGUGGUUUUCACGUCAGCUGUUGUGUCAUAGACAUAAGAGGCACGUAAGAGUUAAAUUGGGAAAAAGACAAAACUCAUCAAUUAAAAGUAUUUUGUCACCUACACUCUGCUUCAGUGAGAAGGACUGCCACUGGUUUUAAACUGUCAUCUGAUGAAGAAACUCACACUUCAUACUCUGGUCUCAGCAGAACGUGAUGUCUCUCCUGCCAGUCACUGCUGGCCAAAGUAUGCCUUCGUUGUUCUGUGCAGACCAAGGCUGUCUACACUGGGAAGACAGAAAGGGUGUAGGAAAAAAAUUAAUAACAUUUUGGUAGCUGAGAUGUCUUUUUUUUGGAAGACUGUUCAGCCACAGCGUGGAUUUUACUUCACCAACGUUUUUGUCCCAAAGAGCAGAAAAAAAUUGACUCUAUAAACUUAUAUUUCAAAUAAAAGUGUUCCAUAGUUGUUUUUGCCUCCGUGACUCAGAUUAAGUGACAGAUUUUCCCAUUUAUUUUCCUUUUUUCCCUUUCAUUUCUCUCUCUUUUUUUCCCUUUCCUUUUUCCCUUCCCCUUUCCUCCCAUCCUCUUUGUUCCUCUCCCCUACCCCUCCCCUCUCCAUUCCUUCCCUUCCCCCUUCCCUUCCUCUUUCCCUUUCCCUUUCCUCUCUUGCUGCCGUAAAUGGCUUUUAUCACAAUGACUGCAAGCUUUUCUCAAAAGCCUUCACAAUCUGGCAGACUAAAAGAGAGUACUUUCCUUAGGACAAUGAAGAUGCCCUAUUCCACCCUGACCAUCACAUAUGCAAUUUGAACAAAAAAUGUUGAUUAAAAGCUUGCCUAACAGUCACAAAAUCUGGAUUUAUUUUAUUUUAAGGACAGAAGCAUCUCUGUAUCAGAAUAAAAAAGAACUCUCAUCUAAUUCUCAAUGAAUUAGAGUUGGCAGACUUCUGUGUCUAGUGCUAACUUAUGGCAUUCAGUGCUAAGAUGUAGCUCCUUGAAACCAUUAUAAUAAAUUAAUGCCACUGUCAGAAGCUGAAGAUAUCAAGCUAGAGAAAAAAAUAUAUUAUGAACUCUUAAAUUUUGUGUUGUAAAAAGAAUUUCAUUCUUGGCAACUUGACAGUAAAAAUAGACAAAACCAAUAUUUUAGGAUGUUGUGCCAAAUACUGUGUGUGAAAGCCUGCAAGUGUCUUGCAUUAAACUGUGAGUUAUAGUUUGUGUGUCUUGAGGAGUGAAAAAUGACAUAUAUCUUGAAGCCCUUAGGACAUUCAAGCUAUAUAUUGCUCUUUUUUUUGAAUGACAAUGUGGUCAAACUCUUUAGCUAGGAACACGUUUGUAUGCUUUUAUUUUUUCAGUUGUCUUUUAUGUAUGAUAUAAAGUUGCUAUUAAUUUAAAAACUGUCAGUCACAGAAUAUGAGAAGGGAAGACCAACUGAAACAAGCACUUAACUGAAAUUGGUACCCUCAGACAAGUAUUAAUUUGGUAUACCUAAUUAUCAUUUUUCCCACAUGAAAUAAUGUCAGGAACAU